AGUCGAGCGGUAGAGAGGUGCUUGCACCUCUUGAGAGCGGCGGACGGGUGAGUAAAGCCUAGGAAUCUGCCUGGUAGUGGGGGAUAACGCUCGGAAACGGACGCUAAUACCGCAUACGUCCUACGGGAGAAAGCAGGGGACCUUCGGGCCUUGCGCUAUCAGAUGAGCCUAGGUCGGAUUAGCUAGUUGGUGAGGUAAUGGCUCACCAAGGCGACGAUCCGUAACUGGUCUGAGAGGAUGAUCAGUCACACUGGAACUGAGACACGGUCCAGACUCCUACGGGAGGCAGCAGUGGGGAAUAUUGGACAAUGGGCGAAAGCCUGAUCCAGCCAUGCCGCGUGUGUGAAGAAGGUCUUCGGAUUGUAAAGCACUUUAAGUUGGGAGGAAGGGCAUUAACCUAAUACGUUAGUGUUUUGACGUUACCGACAGAAUAAGCACCGGCUAACUCUGUGCCAGCAGCCGCGGUAAUACAGAGGGUGCAAGCGUUAAUCGGAAUUACUGGGCGUAAAGCGCGCGUAGGUGGUUCGUUAAGUUGGAUGUGAAAUCCCCGGGCUCAACCUGGGAACU
Molecule: ribosomal RNA, 567 nt
Filed under: uncultured bacterium
Lineage: Bacteria
Description: bacterial SSU rRNA
Rfam family: Bacterial small subunit ribosomal RNA
Source: RNAcentral